CUCCUACAGGCAUUUCAGCUUGAAUGUGUUAUGGGUUGUGCUGUUGGAAAACGUGGUGUGUGGCAGUUUUGGGCUUUUCCCUGAUACGGAUGCCACUGGAAGUCCUGCCUACCACCAUUUUCCAGCUACCAAAGCAUCACCAGGGCUCAGAGUGCUGUCACCAGUUGUGGUCCACCAGUGGGAAACACAUGGGAAGGGGUGAGAGAAUCAGCAUGAGGUCCUGCCCGCCUGAUAUCAUGGCUGGAGCACUUGCUGCUGCCCCUUGCACUUCCUUGGCAUCCACCUGGGGAGCUGAGAGAAGAGGAUUGAUUCAGCUGCAGCCACGUCUCUUUUGAGGGGGAAAACCAGGCUGGGAAAAGGGGAGUGAAAGGAGCGUGGGGCUGGCAGAGGGGGCUGUGCCUCCAAAACCAAGGAGCUCGCGGCACCACUCCCAGCAGCUAAUUGGGGCAUCACCUCCAGUGCCCAACCGUGCCAGCUUUGAAGUUGUUUUUUGUCCCUGCUCUGCAAUUAGUGCUCAGCAUUGACGCUGCUUUGGGUCCUGCUCUCCUCUCACAACAGCUGCUAUUGUGAAGGGACAAGCUGUAGAAAGAGGUUUAGGUUUGUUGAUCAGUGAGAGGGUGCCCUAACAACCACUGUGUCUUUUUUUUCCAACUCAGUGACAGUGAUAAACUUGAUUACCAGGUGAGGGUUUUUUUUUCUGAAUAGAGACAGGGAAGUAUUGGUAUAUUUAUACUUUGGCAUUCUUCAGUGAAUUAUUUGUAUAGCUUUCAUUACCCAUGGUCCAGCAGGAUUAACUAAUUAAAUGGUUACAGUGAGAAGAAUGUCAUAUCUUCCUCUGCAGGAAACAUGAAAAGAAGCUGGCUUCUGAAACUGGUGACAUUAAUGGUAUCUCCUUAUAAAUAUGUUUUUGGGAACAGGGAGAAAGGGAAAAAUCACAGAGGGAGAAGAAGCAUUUGAGUUAAGUGACACUACUGGCUCCAACCCUACUGGCUAGAAAUUGGUCACAAGGGACUUCAGGCUUGAAAUUAGUAAAAUCAUUCGAAGAUGAAAGUUCUGGAUCAGUCUCUCAAUUUUAAAAUGGAAUGUACCAAGUUAUUGAAAAGAUUGUGCAGCAGAGGAAGAAAAUUCUUAAUAAUAAACAAGACAUGCCCUCAGAUAACCCUGAACUAGCAUGUCCAAAGGGAUUGGAAAGGCGAUUAUGUCACCAUUCACAUUUCCCUUAUUAUUAGACCCAUGCUCUAGUGCAAAAGGGAUGUAGGAGCCACAGAGGAAGCCCUUUCUUCUCCCCACAACAGAUAGAUAGUGCAGGAUGUAUGGUGAAGUAAGAAGCUGUUCAGUGCUCUGGUGGAGGGAUGGUGCACCCCGUUUGUGUCCUUAGGUUUAAUCUCUGGAUUUAGAGCUGAACAGGAAUUUUCCUACAAGCCAGGUGAGCAGUGCUUCCCUCCUGCCCUCAGCUUUGGGGAAGGCAUGGUCCAGUUCUAAGGUCAAUGUGGAAGCUCCCUGUGGUAGCCUCCUUCUACCAUCAGCAGAGAGAAACAUGCAUUUUGGGGGGGUAACUCAUCUAAAUAUAUUACAUAUUUACUUUGGGCUGAGACAAAGUCUGCUCCGAAGAUGCAUAUCCCUUCUUGUUGCCCACACUGGGAAUUGAGAUGGGUAGUUACAUGUCAGAGGAAUCCUUUUGUCCUGAGGACAGGGUAUGGCAAAGAGAAAAAAGGAGUUUUUUCUCAGAACAGCUGCUCUGAUGAGUUCCCAGGGAAACAAGCAUUUGUUUAAGAUGGAAGGAAUUAAGUUCUUCAAAUCAUCAGUUUCCUUGGCCAUUCAAAACUUUCAUCAGCUCUCACCUCAUCAGUCCCUCUCUUUGAUGGAUGUCAGGGAGAGCUUUACCACCAAGCUUUGUGGAAGGAGAACUGAGCUAACAUGAAAGUAGUUUGUUGUGUGUGUGUGCCUGCAUGUGGUUAGCAGUGCAAAACAAGACUACAAGGCCUGCAGCUUUUCUGAGAUAUGCUCAUUUACAUCAAGAUGUGCUACCCAAUUACUACAGGGUCCUUUCAUAGCACUUUCCUUUUUUGAUUGUGGUGGAUCUUACACAUGUGAACGUUUAUGUGUGUGUACGUGAUGUGCAUGUGUAAGCCUUUACUGUGGUAUGGGAAGAGGAAAUGUAUUGUUUGCCCAUUUAAAGAGGAGAGUGUUGGGGGUUUUCUUUCUCAUAGGAAAUAAUCAUGCUUUGUAAGCACAUUUCUUGUAAGUAGGUAUGGUUGAAAUGUUUAUAUUUCACUUUCAAGAAGUAAACUACUCUGAAUAUAAUACCAGUUAUACAACACUUGCAUGACUGCAUUAUCAUUUGAACUGAUGUGGAAACUAUUUUAAAAAUCAUCUUUGCUUUCUGGUGCAAUAACUUUCUUUCUGACAUACCUGAGAGAUAGAAGAGUCUGUUCUCACAUUGGUGAGGUUGAAAGUAACUGAAGUGGAAACAAGGAUAUUAU
This is a long non-coding RNA of Corvus hawaiiensis (hawaiian crow), 2483 nucleotides long. RefSeq lists it as uncharacterized. The transcript has 3 exons. The record is from RefSeq and is a predicted model, not a curated record. NCBI's taxonomy places the organism in Eukaryota, Metazoa, Chordata, Aves, Passeriformes, Corvidae.